RNAcentral lists this ribosomal RNA (447 nucleotides) under uncultured bacterium. RNAcentral describes it as "partial 16S ribosomal RNA". It matches the Rfam family "Bacterial small subunit ribosomal RNA", at positions 29 to 523 of the family's 1533-position model. The record is from RNAcentral.
AACGAACGCUGGCGGCAGGCUUAACACAUGCAAGUCGAGCGCCCCGCAAGGGGAGCGGCAGACGGGUGAGUAACGCGUGGGAAUCUACCCAUCUCUACGGAAUAACUCAGGGAAACUUGUGCUAAUACCGUAUACGCCUUUUUGGGGAAAGAUUUAUCGGAGAUGGAUGAGCCCGCGUUGGAUUAGCUAGUUGGUGGGGUAAAGGCAUACCAAGGCGACGAUCCAUAGCUGGUCUGAGAGGAUGAUCAGCCACAUUGGGACUGAGACACGGCCCAAACUCCUACGGGAGGCAGCAGUGGGGAAUAUUGGACAAUGGGCGCAAGCCUGAUCCAGCCAUGCCGCGUGAGUGAUGAAGGCCCUAGGGUUGUAAAGCUCUUUCACCGGAGAAGAUAGUGACGGUAUCCGGAGAAGAAGCCCCGGCUAACUUCGUGCCAGCCGCCGCCGUAA